RNAcentral lists this unclassified non-coding RNA (336 nucleotides) under soil metagenome. Its description in RNAcentral is "partial contains 5.8S ribosomal RNA, internal transcribed spacer 2, and large subunit ribosomal RNA". The stretch from base 1 to 120 matches the Rfam family "5.8S ribosomal RNA", at positions 35 to 154 of the family's 154-position model. The record is from RNAcentral.
GAUGAAGAACGCAGCGAAAUGCGAUAAGUAGUGUGAAUUGCAGAAUUCAGUGAAUCAUCGAAUCUUUGAACGCACAUUGCGCCCCUUGGUAUUCCAUGGGGCAUGCCUGUUCGAGCGUCAUUUGUACCUUCAAGCUUUGCUUGGUGUUGGGUGUUUGUCUCGCCUUUGCGUGUAGACUCGCCUUAAAAUAAUUGGCAGCCGGCGUAUUGAUUUCGGAGCGCAGUACAUCUCGCGCUUUGCACUCAUAACGACAGCGUCCAAAAGUACAUUUUACACUCUUGACCUCAGAUCAGGUAGGGAUACCCGCUGAACUUAAGCAUAUCAAUAAGCGGAGGA